UACAGAGGGGGCUAGCGUUGUUCGGAAUUACUGGGCGUAAAGGGCGCGUAGGUGGCCUGUUAAGUCGAACGUGAAAUCCCCGGGCUCAACCCGGGAACUGCGUCCGAGACUGGCAGGCUCGAAUCCGGGAGAGGGAUGUGGAAUUCCAGGUGUAGAGGUGAAAUUCGUAGAUAUUCGGAAGAACACCAGUGGCGAAGGCGACUUACUGGACGAUUGUUGACGCUGAGGUGCGAAAGCGUGGGGAGCAAACAGG
This 253-nucleotide ribosomal RNA is filed under the name uncultured bacterium. RNAcentral's name for it is "partial 16S ribosomal RNA". It matches the Rfam family "Bacterial small subunit ribosomal RNA", at positions 524 to 776 of the family's 1533-position model. The record is from RNAcentral.